UAACUAAAAAAUGAUAUAGAUUUAUUAAUGGUUUCAUACAAAACAUAUUCACAAUACAUUGUAUUUCAACAUAACAAAAUAGCAUAAGUACAAAAUGAAACGAAUGCAAGCUUUGUAAUAAGAGUAAGAACAUUGUAUGAUAGAUUUUUUAAGAUAAUGUAUAUCUUUACUUUUUUUUUUUACAUUAAUCAGUUAUGAAUGUUACUUAUGGGAGAUAAAAGACUUUCUAUUGCAUUUGUGAUCAAGAUCUUGUUCAUCUGGUUAAUGAUGAGAUCUCAAGGAUAAAUGUUUUUUUUUAUUCUUACAAAACCAAAAUAACAAGAUUAUGAAAGUAUUCAUUGCAGUGACACUUAACUUUCAUAUCUCUCUUAUAAUUCCAAUGUAGAAAUAUGACAAUAUCAAAUAAGUCAAUAAAAAAAAUACUCAUCUGUCAAAAUUUAGCCAACAUCUUUCAAUGUAAAAGCAUAACUUGUAUUAAUACAUUUCUGAUUUGAUAAUAAACUUUAUAGUACUUUCAAAGCCUUAAAUUUGCAAAACUAUGCAAGCUAUGAAGAAGUUCCAAGGAAAUAUUUUAUAAAGCUUCUAAAAAAUUGUUCUCGAUUGACAAAAUUUAUAAGAUCAUGGUACCAAAUUCACCAAAAUCUGGUAUCAGUAUAAUGCGAUACAUAAUAAAAUUUGAACCCUGUUUAAAAAGUAAAGGCCAAGAGGAAUAUUUUAUUUAUAGCUUUCAUAAAUUGUUAAUUAACUUUCAAUGGUGUCUUUAAAUGCAUUGUUGAUUGUAAUACUCAGAUGAACAAUUUAAUUCUGGGAGACACAGAUGAUAAAAUGAAUUUGUUCUUUGAUAAUAAAAUGAAAAUUUCAAGUAAAGAAGAUAUUUUUUGUUCUGACAAAAGAAAAAUAAAAGAUGUGAGAAAAAUAGCUACAUUAAUUAUGUUUUGAACACAUUUUUACCUCAAAAUUCACUAAUCUGUUAAGAAUAUUUAGCACUGUCUUAGAUCUUUUGUACAAACAUAAGAAAAUGUCUCAAUAAAUAGAACAAUCAAAUGAAUAGUUGGCUAUGUCUUCUAUGCCACUAACACACCUCAGA
Molecule: long non-coding RNA, 1087 nt
Filed under: Mytilus galloprovincialis (Mediterranean mussel)
Lineage: Eukaryota; Metazoa; Mollusca; Bivalvia; Mytilida; Mytilidae
Source: RNAcentral